RNAcentral lists this transfer RNA (76 nucleotides) under Bacillus pumilus. RNAcentral's name for it is "tRNA-Leu". It matches the Rfam family "tRNA". Rfam says of the family: Transfer RNA (tRNA) molecules are approximately 80 nucleotides in length. The record is from RNAcentral. Lineage: Bacteria; Bacillati; Bacillota; Bacilli; Caryophanales; Bacillaceae.
GGAGGAUAGCUUCAGCUGGAGAGCAUUCUGCCUUAACAAGCAGAGGUCGGCGGUUCGAGCCCGUCAUCCUCCACCA